Molecule: ribosomal RNA, 255 nt
Filed under: uncultured bacterium
Lineage: Bacteria
Description: partial 16S ribosomal RNA
Rfam family: Bacterial small subunit ribosomal RNA
Source: RNAcentral
GAUCCUGGCUCAGGAUGAACGCUGGCGGCGUGCUUAACACAUGCAAGUCGAACGGACUUUACAUGAAGCCUAGCGAUUGUAAAGUUAGUGGCGGACGGGUGAGUAACGCGUGAAUAACCUGCCCUGUACCGGGGGACAACAGUUGGAAACGACUGCUAAUACCGCAUAAGCGCACGGUUCCGCAUGGAACAGUGUGAAAAACUCCGGUGGUACAGGAUGGAUUCGCGUCUGAUUAGCCAGUUGGUGGGGUAACGG